CGCCCAGCACUCCCUUCCUCCGGAGCUGGAACUUCCAGCCUUGGGUUUCUCCCUUCUCAGUUUCCUCUGUGUUUUCCUCUCUACCUCCAUCUCAACUGUGGACUUUCCCUUAGGCUGAGGAGUCCGGUGUGGUGGAUCCCCUCACUGUGUGACCUCCCCCAAAACCUCCCGCCCGGGCUGCAGCAGUCAUCUGGAACACUCCACCCUAGUGAUUAGUCUUCUUGAUUGGCUUGCCCUCUCUGCUGCCUGUCUGACCCCAGACCAAACUACUCUGCUCCCAGAACCAGCUCGUCACGAUGGUCUCCCUGUCUGCACAGGAAUUGCCUCUGUCCAGUGAUGGGAGUCAGGGGAACUCUAAGUUCCACGGGACCUGGAAGCUCUCCCCAUGAACAGGACUCCCUCCUGUCCUAGUAAACACUAACAUGUCACUUGUGAAACUAAGCGGAAGUGUGCUUUCUUGCUGAUGUCAUCUCCAACAUCAAGUGAGGAUCCCAAAACCACUCAAAACACUUGAACCUUUCACAGAGGAGGAAACGGAGGCUCAGAGAAGGAGAGCGGGUGCAACUUUGGGAUAGGCAGCUGUGCCUUGCUGGGACUGGCCAGCAGGAGCCGCCAACCCUCUCAAGAGCAGGGCAGAGGAAAGGACUGCCCAGUCACCUGGGGCUGGGAAGUAUGCUUCAGGUCAUGGUCUCCAGCCUUUGGGUGAGAUAGGAUUCUUUGGGUCUUCUUUGGCUGGACGCUCCUCUGACCAAGACUGACAAUCAGUGUCAGGUCUUUUAUUAAGAGAAAUGCUGUGCUUCUCUCUCUGCCCCUCCCCCGUUCAUGCUCUGUCUCUCUC
Lynx canadensis (Canada lynx) is the source of this 838-nucleotide long non-coding RNA. RefSeq lists it as uncharacterized. The record is from RefSeq and is a predicted model, not a curated record. Lineage: Eukaryota; Metazoa; Chordata; Mammalia; Carnivora; Felidae. The transcript has 3 exons.